RNAcentral lists this ribosomal RNA (255 nucleotides) under uncultured bacterium. RNAcentral's name for it is "partial 16S ribosomal RNA". It matches the Rfam family "Bacterial small subunit ribosomal RNA", at positions 524 to 773 of the family's 1533-position model. The record is from RNAcentral.
UACGUAGGGUGCGAGCGUUAAUCGGAAUUACUGGGCGUAAAGCGUGCGCAGGCGGUUCGCUAAGACCGAUGUGAAAUCCCCGGGCUUAACCUGGGAACUGCAUUGGUGACUGGCGGGCUAGAGUAUGGCAGAGGGGGGUAGAAUUCCACGUGUAGCAGUGAAAUGCGUAGAGAUGUGGAGGAAUACCGAUGGCGAAGGCCAGCCCCCUGGGCCAAUACUGACGCUCAUAGCACAGGAAAGCGUAGGGGAGCAAAC